Molecule: long non-coding RNA, 304 nt
Organism: Sceloporus undulatus (fence lizard)
Lineage: Eukaryota; Metazoa; Chordata; Lepidosauria; Squamata; Phrynosomatidae
Exons: 3
Source: RefSeq, a predicted model, not a curated record
AACAGCUGCCGCAGUGAAGGCUCCUGUCAAUGCGUGGAUUAGGGUCCUUCAAGAAGAAGAAAAAAUACAUCCGGGUGGAAUUGCUGUCAUCUCUCCUCCUGGGUCAACGAAAUGGGAUUAAGGCAAAUGAAGGGAAGUGUCAGUGAAUCAAUCUAGGAAGACGUUGUGAUGUGUGACCUGGAAGAACUUGCAAUGGAGUAUUCCUCCCCGCUCCACCUUGGCAUGCUGUUGUGAGAUAUGAUGACCCAUCAUUCCAAUUCGUGUCAAGUUAUGGCACGAUGCGAGCUGGAUCAGAAAGAACGAC